Molecule: ribosomal RNA, 514 nt
Filed under: Apinisia graminicola
Lineage: Eukaryota; Fungi; Ascomycota; Eurotiomycetes; Onygenales; Onygenaceae
Description: eukaryotic LSU rRNA
Rfam family: Eukaryotic large subunit ribosomal RNA
Source: RNAcentral
GGCAAAAGCUCAAAUUUGAAAUCUGGCCUCUUUUGGGGGUCCGAGUUGUAAUUUGAAGAGGAUGCUUCGGGUGCGGCCACGGCGCAAGUCCCUUGGAACAGGGCGUCGCAGAGGGUGAGAAUCCCGUCUCGAGCCGUCGGACCCGCGCCCAUGUGAAGCUCCUUCGACGAGUCGAGUUGUUUGGGAAUGCAGCUCUAAGCGGGUGGUAAAUUUCAUCUAAAGCUAAAUAUUGGCCGGAGACCGAUAGCGAACAAGUAGAGUGAUCGAAAGGUUAAAAGCACCUUGAAAAGGGAGUUAAAUAGCACGUGAAAUUGUUGAAAGGGAAGCGCUUGCGACCAGACUCGGGGGCGGGGUUCAGCGGCCAUUCGUGGCCGUGUACUCCCCGUUUCCCGGGCCAGCAUCGGUUCUCGCGGUCGGUCAAAGGCCCUCGGAAUGUGUCGUCCUUCGGGACGUCUUAUAGCCGGGGGUGCAAUGCGGCCAGCGGGGACCGAGGAACGCGCUUCGGCUCGGAUGC